This 470-nucleotide ribosomal RNA is filed under the name uncultured bacterium. RNAcentral describes it as "SSU rRNA". It matches the Rfam family "Bacterial small subunit ribosomal RNA", at positions 26 to 518 of the family's 1533-position model. The record is from RNAcentral.
AGGACGAACGCUGGCGGCGUGCUUAACACAUGCAAGUCGAGCGGAAAGGCCCUUCGGGGUACUCGAGCGGCGAACGGGUGAGUAACACGUGAGCAACCUGCCCUUGGCUCUGGGAUAGCCUCCGGAAACGGGGAUUAAUACCGGACAUUCACUUUCUCCUGCAUGGGGGUUGGUGGAAAGUUUUUCGGCCAGGGAGGGGCUCGCGGCCUAUCAGCUUGUUGGCGGGGUAACGGCCCACCAAGGCGACGACGGGUAGCCGGCCUGAGAGGGCGAUCGGCCACACUGGGACUGAGACACGGCCCAGACUCCUACGGGAGGCAGCAGUGGGGAAUAUUGCACAAUGGGCGCAAGCCUGAUGCAGCGACGCCGCGUGGGGGAUGAAGGCCUUCGGGUUGUAAACCCCUUUCACCAGGAGCGAAUCAAGACGGUACCUGGAAAGAAGCGCCGGCUAACUACGCGCCAGCAGCCGC